ACCUCACAUAGGAGCAUUAACAACAUUAAAUCCGGGUGAAGGAUGAAGCUGUCAGUCGGCCAUGUUUGAAAACCGCCAAAAAAAGUUGUUUUAAAAACGCUCACCUGCUGCUUCUGAAGGUAUGUCCAGACUCCCCAGAGUAGAUGGAUGGAUGAUGGGAAGCAAUGGCAGCUUGUACAGCAAAGAGAUUGAAGAGAGACCGAACGCACAGAGAGACAAGCAGCUUCAGGUCGUCUCUCUGGGGAGAGCUCCCGACUCCCCACUGAGCCUCCAGCACCUCCAGCUGGUUGAUGUGUCCUCCCUG
This is a long non-coding RNA of Micropterus salmoides (largemouth bass), 304 nucleotides long. RefSeq lists it as uncharacterized. The record is from RefSeq and is a predicted model, not a curated record. The transcript is spliced from 3 exons. NCBI's taxonomy places the organism in Eukaryota, Metazoa, Chordata, Actinopteri, Centrarchiformes, Centrarchidae.